GACGAACGCUGGCCGUGCUUAACACAUGCAAGUCGAACGGAAAGGCCCUGCUUUUGUGGGGUGCUCGAGUGGCGAACGGGUGAGUAACACGUGAGUAACCUGCCCUUGACUUUGGGAUAACUUCAGGAAACUGGGGCUAAUACCGGAUAGGAGCUCCUGCUGCAUGGUGGGGGUUGGAAAGUUUCGGCGGUUGGGGAUGGACUCGCGGCUUAUCAGCUUGUUGGUGGGGUAGUGGCUUACCAAGGCUUUGACGGGUAGCCGGCCUGAGAGGGUGACCGGCCACAUUGGGACUGAGAUACGGCCCAGACUCCUACGGGAGGCAGCAGUGGGGAAUAUUGCACAAUGGGCGGAAGCCUGAUGCAGCAACGCCGCGUGCGGGAUGACGGCCUUCGGGUUGUAAACCGCUUUCGCCUGUGACGAAGCGUGAGUGACGGUAAUGGGUAAAGAAGCACCGGCUAACUACGUG
RNAcentral lists this ribosomal RNA (466 nucleotides) under uncultured bacterium. Its description in RNAcentral is "partial 16S ribosomal RNA". It matches the Rfam family "Bacterial small subunit ribosomal RNA", at positions 28 to 507 of the family's 1533-position model. The record is from RNAcentral.